Long non-coding RNA from Hippopotamus amphibius kiboko, 897 nucleotides. RefSeq lists it as uncharacterized. The transcript is spliced from 4 exons. The record is from RefSeq and is a predicted model, not a curated record. Lineage: Eukaryota; Metazoa; Chordata; Mammalia; Artiodactyla; Hippopotamidae.
AAUGCGAGCCGAGAACAGCUGCGCGCCCGCCUCGCGUUGCGAACCCCGAGCGAGAGACGCUUCAGAGACUGGAGGGACGGACCUGCAGGAGCCAGGGCUGCCCGCCGAGCUGCAGUUGCCGCCUCUGCCACUGUCGCGCCGUCGCUGUCUCUGUCAGCGCCCGUCUGAAGAGUGACAGCGCCGCAAAAGGGUGAGGGAGCACCGGAUCCCGCGCCUUUAUGAAACAGGUGCAUGCAUCGGUCUCCUGGUGAGUGGACUCAACUCGCAAGGUAGCCAUUCAUGAGCCCGAGGCUUUGAGAAAUGCUCGCUGUGCAAAGGGGAACUCUCACCAGAUUUUCUGAAGCCAUCCUAGAGAUACACUUUUCAGAUUGAUUCAGCAUUAUCAGCUUAUCCAACAAAAGUAUUAACACAUACAUUAACAACGUCGAAAGUAGCCUACUUUAAGAGAAAAUAUGCAGAAGAAGAAGAUUUACAUCAAGAUUACCAUGGGUAUUUUCCAAAACACCUGAUAUUGCCCGAGGACAGGACUUGCAUUCUCAAACUUUCUCUGGAGAAGCUCAGAUUUCUUGAAGACCCAGAAACCUACUUAAGAAGGUCUGUGUUAAUUAACAAUUUGCUGAGGAAGAUCCAUCUAGAGACGGAGAAAGAGAGCUAUGAAUACUUUAAAGAAGCUCCCUGUUAUAAGACUGCUUAUUCUGAUACAAGAAAACGGCUGAAGUUCAUGGUACAGGAAUGCUGUUCUCAGUCUCUCUAUUAUGAAGAGCUGCAUUCGUAUCAUAUUGUGCCUUAUGCUUCGGAGAAUGCCAUUUAUGGGAUGGGCUACACUAGCAGCCACUUGGAGCAAAAUUCUCAGUUGCUUAUUUAUAAAAUGAAUUAAAGUAACUGUUAAAGUCCAUU